UACGAAGGGUGCAAGCGUUACUCGGAAUUACUGGGCGUAAAGCGCUCGUAGGCGGUAUACGGACAGUCGGAUGAACGAAAGGACCCGGGCUCAACUCGGGGAACGGCACCCGAAUACUAUCGAUCUUGAGGCAAUCAAGAGGGUGAUGGAAUUCCCGGUGUAGAGGUGAAAUUCGUAGAUAUCGGGAGGAACACCGGUGGCGAAGGCGGCGAUCUGGGUCGAUACUGACGCUGAGGUGCGAAAGCGUGGGGAGCAAACAGG
Molecule: ribosomal RNA, 261 nt
Filed under: uncultured bacterium
Lineage: Bacteria
Description: partial 16S ribosomal RNA
Rfam family: Bacterial small subunit ribosomal RNA
Source: RNAcentral